Molecule: ribosomal RNA, 380 nt
Filed under: uncultured eukaryote
Lineage: Eukaryota
Description: partial 18S ribosomal RNA
Rfam family: Eukaryotic small subunit ribosomal RNA
Source: RNAcentral
CAAUAGCGUAUAUUAAAGUUGUUGCAGUUAAAAAGCUCGUAGUUGGAUUUGUGGCGUACGGUGUGUUCCGGGCACUUGUUGUCUGAGUAACCUGCUGUUGCCAUCCUUGGGUGGAACCUGUGUGGCAUUAGGUUGUCGUGCAGGGGAUGCCCAUCAUUUACUGUGAAAAAAUUAGAGUGUUCAAAGCAGGCUUAUGCCGUUGAAAAUAUUAGCAUGGAAUAAUGAGAUAGGACUUUUUUGCUAUUUUGUUGGUUUGCGCAAAGAGGUAAUGAUUAAUAGGGACAGUUGGGGGUAUUCGUAUUCCAUUGUCAGAGGUGAAAUUCUUGGAUUUUUGGAAGACGAACUACUGCGAAAGCAUUUACCAAGGAUGUUUUCAUUAA